This 5276-nucleotide long non-coding RNA is filed under the name Lactuca sativa (garden lettuce). RNAcentral describes it as "long non-coding RNA (LSAT_LNC009495)". Lineage: Eukaryota; Viridiplantae; Streptophyta; Magnoliopsida; Asterales; Asteraceae. The record is from RNAcentral.
CUAGUCAUAGGUUCCUAAAACAUCAUUUAAAAUGUUCAAAACCUACCCUCCUUGGAAAUCUCUUACAAAAACAAGUCCCAAGUCUCAAACCUGUGUCUAUUUUAUUUAUUUUAACCCCUCUGUAGAGAUUUAUUUGCAAAAUAAAUCCUAAACUCAAACCUAGAAUUUAAAUAAACAAUUUUAGUCCCUUAUUUGGAAAUUAUUAACAACCUUAGUCUAUUUAAUAUAUUUAAAUUCAUGAAUGGAUCCCAUAUAUUGGUUAAAUUUCCAAACAACUCUUCACAUAUUAAUUUAUGUUAAUAUUUCUAGGAAACUAAAUAAAUCUCGACGAUUCGUAUUCACGACAAUAUAUCUCGCUUUUUCUCGCAACAAUUACUCGACAACUACACAUUAAGGUGAGUGUUACCUCAUAGCCAGUUAUCAACUUUGUAGUUUCAUUAUACCUCAUACAUACACAAAAANAAAUACACAAAAAAAUAUCAUUGUUUUGUAUAAAUACUUUACCAGUUUUAGAAAUAAUUGUUUAAACGCUUACAUGUUAAGUAAACAAAAUCGUUUUAAACCUCAAUACUUUUAUAUGUUAUUUUGUUAAGAUAAUACACAUGCAGUUUUGUUUAUCGUUGUAAUUGUGCUAUAUAUUCAGUUUAUCUGUGAUCCAUGAACUUAGUCCCACUCCCGGCGUGUUCCGCCUUGGCCGGGGGUGUGACAGAAUGGUAUCAGAGCUAAAUUGGCUAUAGAGAACUCGUAUCCUCGAAAGAGUAAUACAACUAUAGCAGACUAGCUUCUAAUAAAAGUAUUAUUAAUAAUAACACUAUUUCUCGACUACUUACGCCGUUUGAUGUCCGGCCAUCGUCUGUGCUCGGUAUUCGGGAAGAACAAACAAAAAUUAAUAAUACUACAAACCCCACCAACCAUAAUAUAUAAGAGUUUGUAUAUACUCUGUUUCGCGAUGAGAACACUUAAUAAAAUUUUAACAUCCCUUCAACUAAAACUACCAACUCAACCCUUUAGGUCAGACGCCUCAAUUAGGGUUAGUAUCGUACAUAAGUCAUACCAUAAAUAAACCUGGAAUGCGCACCUAUGUUAUUUAUGGUCAGGCCGGUGCACAACCAACCCUGAGCAAGGAGUCUGACAGACUACAACGGUUGAAUGUUUUAAGAGAUUGAAGGAUGUUCUCCAGAUUCGCUACAGCAACCUAGUACCUUAGAAUCCAUACAUACAUUUUAAAACACUUACAAUUCAUUAGCAAUUAAGGUCCCCUUUCUAUCCUUUAGAAAUCUAGAGGAUUUCUAAACCAAGCACCUUUUCCUUAUCAUUUGGAAAUCUAGAGGAUUUCUAAAUCAAUCCUCUUUCUCUUAUAAUUUAUAGGAUUUCACAAGCAAACUAUAUCAUAAAAUGCAUCCCAUGCAUACUUGUUAGGACUUUAUAGUAUUAACACAACUUAACGUGUCCGUUUUAAACAUAUUAGGAGAUGGCCCCACGAAAGCAACCGGGAGUUCGUCCACCGCCAACUCCCCGAGACAACGCGAGGAGAACCCCACCAGUAACUCAAACAUCAGUGGAAACGCCAAACCAGGGAGGAGACCCAGAAGUAACAAAUGUAAACCAAACAUUCCAAAUGAAUUCUGCCAUGAUGCAGAACAUGCUCGCACAAGGAAUUGCUACGGCUUUGGCAGCAUACGAGGCAGCCCGAAAUGGAAACACUGGAACUAGUGGAAGUGGCACUCCCGCAACUCACCAAAGCAACACCAGACACUGCUCCUAUAAGGAUUUCAUGAGCUGCAAACCUCGACUCUUCUACGACACUGAAGGAGCUGUUGGGCUAUCCCGUUGGAUAGAAAAGACUGAGGCUGUCUUCCACAUCAGUGCUUGCCCCGUUGACUAUAGGGUUAAGUACGCUACAUGCAUGUUAAUGGACUCCGCUUUAACUUGGUGGAAUAACCAUGCGAAGUCCAUGGGAAUCACUGAAGCUUAUGCCAUGGGCUGGGAAUCCCUGAAGCAGCUAAUGACCAAGGAGUAUUGUCCCCGACAGGAGAUACAAGCUCUAGAGCAAGAGCUUUGGAACCUUGUCAUGAAAGGAUCAGAAGUAGCUGCUUACACCUCUCGAUUCAAUGACCUUGCAAACCUUUGCCCAGGAAUGGUGNAAACCUUUGCCAGGAAUGGUGACCCCGGAAGACAGGAAGAUCGAAAGGUACAUUUGGGGACUAGCUUCACCUGUUCAAGGUCUAGUGAUGGCAUCCAAACCCUCCACUUUCGAUAGUGCUAAGCAAUUAGCCUAUCAGUUGACUGAACAGUGUGUCCGGCAGGGUACCAUGACCCCACCGGCAGAGAAGAAGCUCACUGGAGGCACCAAAAGGAAGUUUCAUGGGGAAACAAAGGAGGACUCCAAGCAUCAGAAGCUUGAACCAGAACCGUUAGCUGUCUACGCUGCAGUUACUAAUACUCCCACCCCAACUAAGUCCUACUCUGGGACUUUACCUCAUUGUAUAAAGUGCAAUUUCCACCAUAUCGGAAAUUACAGGGAGGUGAUCUGCAACAAGUGUAACAUGAGAGGUCACAUCUCGAGGUACUGUAGAAGAACCCCAACCACUAUGGCAGAAGGAAUUCAUAACUGUUACGAGUGCAAUCAGCCAGGGCAUUUUAGGAAGGACUGCCCACAACUAAAGAACCAAGGUGGCAAUGGAAGGGUACUUAUGAUCACAGCAAGAGACGCUCUUUCGGAACCACCUGUGGUUAUUGGUACGUUUCAUAACAACAAUGUUUAGGCCUCAGUAUUUAUUAAUACUAGUGCCAAUUAAAGUUUUAUCGACCAUAGGUUUAAAAACGCGACUAAACAUGAAAUCUAUGCAGUAGCUAUAACAAAAAGUACUUGUUGGUUGCCUUAUCACCCAAGUUAAUCAUGCCAUUCACAUAGAAACUAAGUACCCUUGCUGGUAAUCUAUGCUUGCUAAAUUUAUACGUUAGGGUUGUAUAUAAUUAAGAUUCUAUAGACUUAGGAUUUGUGAUUCCGCUUUACUUCCUAUUCCUUGUUUGGUUGUGGGCUUAGAGUAGAAUCACUUAUUCGACUGACUAUUCAAUCUUGGUUAUAUACAACUUAUAUACACCAAGGGAAUGUAGAAGGACCAGCCAAGGAUCAUGCGCCACGUAAGUACAUUACUAUUUAUCGAUAUGGAAAAAGUACUCCCUAGUUGCUUUCUCACCCGAAUUAAUCACAUCAUUCAUAUAGAAACUAAGGACCCUUGCUGGUAAUCUAUGAUUGCUAAGUGUAUAAGUUGGGGUUAUAUAUAAUAAAGAUUCUAAAGACUUAGGAUUUGUGAUUCCACCUUACUUCCUGUUCCUUGUUUGGUUGUGGGCUUAGGGUAGAAUCACUUAUUCGACAGUCUGUUCGAUCUUGAUUAUAUACGACUUGUAUACACCAACCGAUUAUAGAAGGACCAGGCAGGGAUCAUGUACCAUGAGAUUACAUUACUAUUUAUCGAAGCCCUAGUACUACCAGUACCAACUUAAUUUCGGGACAAAAUUUCCUUUAACGGGGAGGUAAUGUGACAACCCAUAAUUUAGGGCUAUUAUUAUAACCGCCAAUCUAUCCGUGAAUCUCAUGUUAAUCCGAAUUAUUGAGUUUUAGUACAUCUAAGGGAAAAUAAAUAAUUUUAUUUCAAUUAUUACAUGAUAUCAGAUCAUACCUUACUUCCAAAUGUGUAAACUGUAAUCCGAAUCAAACCGCUUAAACAGCAACGCUAAUUAAUGCGUUUGAAAAACUAAAAAUUUGCAUUACGUAGUUUUGAGCAAAACAAAAAUUAAAAUAUCAUACUACAUUUUCCUCUCUUUCCACAAAUAUAAAGAACAUCCAAAACGGAGUUCGUAUGCAAAAGAUACGACAAUUUUAAGAAAACAGACAGUAAAACACCGGUUUUCUUUAAUCGCGUAAAACCGAAUCGAUCCGUUGAAGUACUUAAACUUUGCCGAAUGGAUUUCUGAGAGCGUUUUUGGACUCAUAAUAUAGUCUAUUAUUUAAUUUCACACUCGAAAUAAUUUUUACGAAAAUAUUUACAAAAUUCGCGAAAACGGACACCGUGAACCGUUUAGACGUAAAACUUCAAACGCAAUUUCCCAGAGAUCCGUAACUCCAAAAAUUAAUCCGUUUGAUGUUCCAGAAUCCUUGAAUUAAACUCUAUCUAACGGUACAUUCGAAAAGAAUUUUCGAUGCAUGGAUCCCGAGGCACCCAGUUUUGUGUGUUUUGGGCAAUUAAUGAGGGAAUAACCCAUGUGGGGCCCACAUGUGACACAAGAAGGAAAAAAGUCUAGAUUUUCUUCCCUUCUACUUCUUCCCCACGUUCUUCUUUCCUCCCCCUCUCUUCUUCUUUGUGUGCAAGUCUAUCAAAAAUGGUACAAUGCUUGGUUGGAGGUAUGGCCACAAAAGAGUGUGUGUUCCUCUUUUAGUAUAAAUAAGAGCUCUUAGAAGCCAUUAAAGUCACCAAUUCACAGCCACUUCUCUCAAGUUCUCUCCCUCCUUAUUUCUCUCUAUUCCUAUUGAUUUCUUGAUCAUCACCCUUAACCACCACAACCCCGUCAUAAACCACCACCUCUUAUGCCGUUAAUACUGCCGCUGUAAGUACUCAUCCCCAACAUUUGUUAUUUAUUUAUUCAUUUUUUUUUAUGAUCGAGCUUUGACGAGGUCCUGAAUCAUUUUUUUAUCAUUCAUGAAACUUCAUGUAGAUGAACACACGAGGUAAAUUACCUCCUAUGCAAUUGAGUUUAAUUGAUUUUACUGUUUGUUACAUUUUACUUACUUCAAUAAUGACCUCAAAGUUUGUUGAUGUUACGAAAUCAACCCCCACACCUUAUACGUCCAUUUCAAGAUUUACACAAUCCUCCCCUCCACUUCAAAGGUUUCUACAAAUAGGACCCUAAGUCCCAAACUUCAAUUCCAAAAUAAUUCUUAGCUCCCUCCCAAAGAAUUUGUUUACAAAACUAGUCAUAGGUUCCUAAAACAUCAUUUAAAAUGUUCAAAACCUACCCUCCUUGGAAAUCUCUUACAAAAACAAGUCCCAAGUCUCAAACCUGUGUCUAUUUUAUUNUAUUUUCACCUCUCUAGAGAUAUUUAUUUGCAAAAUAAAUCCUAAACUCAAACCUAGAAUUUAAAUAAACAAUUUUAGUCCCUUAUUUGGAAUAUUAACAACCUUAGUCUAUUUAAUAUAUUUAAAUUCGUGAAUGGAUCCUAUACAUUGGUUAAAUUUCCAAACAACUCUUCACAUAUUAAUUUAUGUUAAUAUUUC